GACGAACGCUGGCGGCGUGCUUAACACAUGCAAGUCGAACGGAAAGGCACUGCUUUUGUGGGGUGCUCGAGUGGCGAACGGGUGAGUAACACGUGUGUAACCUGCCCUUGACUUUGGGAUAACUUCAGGAAACUGGGGCUAAUACCAUACAGGAGCUCCUGUAGCAUGGUGGGGGUUGGAACGUUUCGGCGGUUGGGGAUGGACGCGCGGCUUAUCAGCUUGUUGGUGGGGUAGUGGCUUACCAAGGCUUAGACGGAUAGGCGGCCUGAGAGGGUGACCGGCCACAUGGCGCCUACGGGAGGGACCAGUCGGGAAUGUGAGGCAGCAGGGGGAAAUAUUGCACAACGGGCGGAAGCCUGAUACAGCAACGUUGCGUGCGGGAUGACGGUUUUUGGGUUGAAAACCGCUUUAGGCUGUGACGAAGCGGGAGUGACGGUAAUGGGUAAAGAAGCACCGGCUAACUACGUG
This 468-nucleotide ribosomal RNA is filed under the name uncultured bacterium. RNAcentral's name for it is "partial 16S ribosomal RNA". It matches the Rfam family "Bacterial small subunit ribosomal RNA", at positions 28 to 507 of the family's 1533-position model. The record is from RNAcentral.